This 470-nucleotide ribosomal RNA is filed under the name Enterococcus italicus. RNAcentral's name for it is "bacterial SSU rRNA". It matches the Rfam family "Bacterial small subunit ribosomal RNA", at positions 28 to 476 of the family's 1533-position model. Lineage: Bacteria; Bacillati; Bacillota; Bacilli; Lactobacillales; Enterococcaceae. The record is from RNAcentral.
GACGAACGCUGGCGGCGUGCCUAAUACAUGCAAGUUGAACGCUUCUUUCUUAUCGAACUUCGGUUCACCAAGAAAGAGGAGUAGCGAACGGGUGAGUAACACGUGGGUAACCUGCCCAUCAGCGGGGGAUAACACUUGGAAACAGGUGCUAAUACCGCAUAAUGCUUUUUCUCACAUGAGAGAAAGCUGAAAGGCGCUUUUGCGUCACUGAUGGAUGGACCCGCGGUGCAUUAGCUAGUUGGUAGGGUGACGGCCUACCAAGGCAACGAUGCAUAGCCGACCUGAGAGGGUGAUCGGCCACACUGGGACUGAGACACGGCCCAGACUCCUACGGGAGGCAGCAGUAGGGAAUCUUCGGCAAUGGACGAAAGUCUGACCGAGCAACGCCGCGUGAGUGAAGAAGGUUUUCGGAUCGUAAAAACUCUGUUGUUAGAGAAAGAAACAAGGAUGAGAAAGAGAAUUUUCAUCCC